AGUAAUAUAAGCUAAAUAAGCUAUUGGGCCCAUACCUCAAAAAUACUUUCAGUUAUUACUA
This 61-nucleotide transfer RNA is filed under the name Trichuris rhinopiptheroxella. RNAcentral's name for it is "tRNA-Met". Lineage: Eukaryota; Metazoa; Nematoda; Enoplea; Trichinellida; Trichuridae. The record is from RNAcentral.